GACGUAGGGAGCGAGCGUUGUCCGGAUUCAUUGGGCGUAAAGCGCGCGUAGGCGGUUUGGUAAGUCGGAUGUGAAAUCCCGAGGCUCAACCUCGUGACUGCAUCCGAUACUGCCCGACUAGAGGUAGGUAGGGGAGAUCGGAAUUCCUGGUGUAGCGGUGAAAUGCGCAGAUAUCAGGAGGAACACCGAUGGCGAAGGCAGGUCACUGGGCCGCAACUGACGCUGAGGAGCGAAAGCAUGGGGAGCGAACAGG
Molecule: ribosomal RNA, 253 nt
Filed under: uncultured bacterium
Lineage: Bacteria
Description: partial 16S ribosomal RNA
Rfam family: Bacterial small subunit ribosomal RNA
Source: RNAcentral